UACGGAAGGCAGCAGUGGGGAAUAUUGCACAAUGGGCGCAAGCCUGAUGCAGCCAUGCCGCGUGUAUGAAGAAGGCCUUCGGGUUGUAAAGUACUUUCAGUCGUGAGGAAGGUGUUAAGGUUAAUAACCUUAGCAAUUGACGUUAGCGACAGAAGAAGCACCGGCUAACUCCGUGCCAGCAGCCGCGGUAAUACGGAGGGUGCGAGCGUUAAUCGGAAUUACUGGGCGUAAAGGGCACGCAGGCGGUUAACUAGUUGGAUGUGAAAUCCCCGGGCUUAACCUGGGAAUGGCAUUCAAGACUGGUUAGCUAGAGUCUUGUAGAGGGGGUAGAAUUCCAUGUGUAGCGGUGAAAUGCGUAGAGAUGUGGAGGAAUACCGGUGGCGAAGGCGGCCCCUGGACAAAGACUGACGCUCAUGUGCGAAAGCGUGGGGAGCGAAAC
RNAcentral lists this ribosomal RNA (439 nucleotides) under uncultured bacterium. Its description in RNAcentral is "bacterial SSU rRNA". It matches the Rfam family "Bacterial small subunit ribosomal RNA", at positions 340 to 774 of the family's 1533-position model. The record is from RNAcentral.